This 253-nucleotide ribosomal RNA is filed under the name uncultured bacterium. Its description in RNAcentral is "partial 16S ribosomal RNA". It matches the Rfam family "Bacterial small subunit ribosomal RNA", at positions 524 to 776 of the family's 1533-position model. The record is from RNAcentral.
UACGAAGGGGGCUAGCGUUGCUCGGAAUCACUGGGCGUAAAGCGCACGUAGGCGGUUUGCUAAGUCAGGGGUGAAAUCCUGGAGCUCAACUCCAGAACUGCCUUUGAUACUGGCGACCUUGAGUCCGGGAGAGGUGAGUGGAACUGCGAGUGUAGAGGUGAAAUUCGUAGAUAUUCGCAAGAACACCAGUGGCGAAGGCGGCUCACUGGCCCGGUACUGACGCUGAGGUGCGAAAACGUGGGGAGCAAACAGG